RNAcentral lists this unclassified non-coding RNA (276 nucleotides) under Hevea brasiliensis (rubber tree). The record is from RNAcentral. Lineage: Eukaryota; Viridiplantae; Streptophyta; Magnoliopsida; Malpighiales; Euphorbiaceae.
CUUUCUUUUCUGCUCAGACCACUUCAAUUGAGUUGUCACAAUUCUUUGAUGGCAUGGAUGAUGAUGGAAAUCCUCGAAACAGUGGGGGAUUCAAUGUGAACCGUGGAAAUGGCCGAAAGCCAUCACUAGGUAACCAGAACAUUCCUCUCCAGAAGAAGCAGUCUGCUGAUUGCUUCAAUGCUUCUCCCAAAGAGAACAAGGGUGAACAACAAAAGAAACAGGAAGCUGUAAUCAAGAAACAAACAACAGUUGCCAAACCAACUAAGCCAUCUGGAG